AUCGCGCCGAGCCUGUGUACUACUAUAUACGCAGAGUAUAUUUUAUAUACCGUAUAACAACAGUCGCGUCGUUUCACUAUCCACUGUGUGCCAAGCCAAGCGAGGAUCGCCUUUUUUUUACAUUUUCAAUAAACCAACGUUUGGUUCGUGUGUUGUUUACAGUUGUUGUUGUUGUUGUUGUUGUUGCUGUGUGCUGUUUCAUUUUUUUGUUGUUGAUGUUUAGUUCUGCUGUGAUUUCGUUCGGCUUCAGUGCUCAAGUGUGAAGUUUUUAUAUUCGUUCGAAUUUAUUACAAAAAUUUAAGUGUCCAGGCGGCGGUUGCAGCGAAGCGACGAUCGCUUGCUUGCUUGAGCGCAGAUCUCUGUUUACGCGCGAUUCCUUCCUUCCUCUGCUUUGCAGCAGCAGCAGCAGCAGCAGUCGAGAGAAUCGUUAAAUCGUCCAUAGUGAUUGGUCCUUAAAAGAGCGCACCGAUUCGAGUGAGCACUAGAGGGAUACGCAGCCUCGCUACGUUUUAUAAUAUAGCAGCAGCAGCAGCGGAGGUGAAACGAGCAACGACGACAUAACAUAACCAUGGGUCGCACCGGCUAUACGUGCAUUAGGCAUGUGUUCUGCUCGCUCAACGUCCUCAUUUGGUUGUGCGCUUGCGGCAUGCUCGGCGCCGGCCUCUGGAUGCGAUUGAACUAUCCGUACGAGCACGGCUACGGCACCCUCGUGCCACAGUACCCGUACGCCUCGUCGGACAUCGUCGUGCUGGCCAUCGGCUGUCUCACGUUCCUCGUCGCCUUCUUCGGCUGCUGCGGCGCCUGGUUCCAGUCCCGAUGUCUCCUGAUCACGUACUUCAGUCUCGUCAUACUGGUAUUCUUGGCGGAAUUCAUGCUCGGCUCGCUGGCCUUCAUCUUCAAGGAUCAAGUGGGCAUCACGAUGAAGGAGCAGCUCUACAACGGCAUUCAAGAGCACUACAGCGACGAAAACGUCCACGAGAGCGGCACUUUCGCUAAUUUCUGGGAUUACAUACAAUCGACCUUCCAAUGCUGCGGAGUCGACAAGUACAACGACUGGUACAACAUCAAGGCAUGGCCGCGCGAGGAGCGCGUGCCCGACUCGUGCUGCCGGGUGCGCGAGCGCUACUGCGGCAAGCAGUACGAGAACGACGAUCGCCAGCUCAACUGGUAUCAGGACGGCUGCUCGGCGGCCAUACAGAUGUGGCUGGUGCAGCGUCUGCACUUCGUGGGAAGCGUCGGCUUGGCCAUAGGCUUCGUCCAGCUGUUCGGCCUCAUCGCCAGCAUGAUACUCUUCUGCACGGUCAGGCACAAGCGAUCAACCCACACGUACAAAAGCUACGACACAACGACGACAUAAAAAGCAAAAAAGCAAAAAUUUGACGAUCAUGCCUCUAUAACUAUGAUUUUUUUACAUCAUCCACAAUCUUCACGCUCCGAGAGAGACGAGCAUCAGGAAACGAGGUAAAGCUUUGCCGAUUCUGGAUGAGGAAUACCGAUUAAGUUGAUGAUGAUGAU
This 1515-nucleotide unclassified non-coding RNA is filed under the name Trichogramma pretiosum. Its description in RNAcentral is "tetraspanin-9, transcript variant X2". Lineage: Eukaryota; Metazoa; Arthropoda; Insecta; Hymenoptera; Trichogrammatidae. The record is from RNAcentral.